RNAcentral lists this ribosomal RNA (465 nucleotides) under uncultured bacterium. RNAcentral's name for it is "partial 16S ribosomal RNA". It matches the Rfam family "Bacterial small subunit ribosomal RNA", at positions 28 to 507 of the family's 1533-position model. The record is from RNAcentral.
GACGAACGCUGGCGGCGUGCUUAACACAUGCAAGUCGAACGGAAAGGCCCUGCUUGCAGGGUACUCGAGUGGCGAACGGGUGAGUAACACGUGGGUGAUCUGCCCUGCACUUCGGGAUAAGCUUGGGAAACUGGGUCUAAUACCGGAUAGGAGCCAUCUUUAGUGUGGUGGUUGGAAAGUUUUUUCGGUGUAGGAUGAGCUCGCGGCCUAUCAGCUUGUUGGUGGGGUAAUGGCCUACCAAGGCGGCGACGGGUAGCCGGCCGGAGAGGGUGUACGGCCACAUUGGGACUGAGAUACGGCCCAGACUCCUACGGGAGGCAGCAGUGGGGAAUAUUGCACAAUGGGCGCAAGCCUGAUGCAGCGACGCCGCGUGGGGGAGGAAGGCCUUCGGGUUGUAAACUCCUUUCGCUAGGGACGAAGCUUUUUGUGACGGUACCUAGAUAAGAAGCACCGGCUAACUACGUG